GACGAACGCUGGCGGCGUGCUUAACACAUGCAAGUCGAACGGAAAGGCCCUGCUUUUGUGGGGUGCUCGAGUGGCGAACGGGUGAGUAACACGUGAGUAACCUGCCCUUGACUUUGGGAUAACUUCAGGAAAUUGGGGCUAAUACCGGAUAGGAGCUCCUGCUGCAUGGUGGUGGUUGGAAAGUUUCGGCGGUUGGGGAUGGACUCGCGGCUUAUCAGCUUGUUGGUGGGGUAGUGGCUUACCAAGGCUUUGACGGGUAGCCGGCCUGAGAGGGUGACCGGCCACAUUGGGACUGAGAUACGGCCCAGACUCCUACGGGAGGCAGCAGUGGGGAAUAUUGCACAAUGGGCGGAAGCCUGAUGCAGCAACGCCGCGUGCGGGAUGACGGCCUUCGGGUUGUAAACCGCUUUCGCCUGUGACGAAGCGUGAGUGACGGUAAUGGGUAAAGAAGCACCGGCUAACUACGUG
Molecule: ribosomal RNA, 468 nt
Filed under: uncultured bacterium
Lineage: Bacteria
Description: partial 16S ribosomal RNA
Rfam family: Bacterial small subunit ribosomal RNA
Source: RNAcentral